RNAcentral lists this ribosomal RNA (381 nucleotides) under uncultured marine Chaetocerotaceae. RNAcentral's name for it is "SSU rRNA". It matches the Rfam family "Eukaryotic small subunit ribosomal RNA", at positions 587 to 972 of the family's 1831-position model. The record is from RNAcentral. Lineage: Eukaryota; Bacillariophyta; Thalassiosirophyceae; Chaetocerotales; Chaetocerotaceae.
AGCUCCAAUAGCGUAUAUUAAAGUUGCUGCAGUUAAAAAGCUCGUAGUUGCAUUUCCGAGGCAAGGGAUUAGUCCGACCUUUGGUGGGUAUUUAAUCCUCUUGCCUCGUCCUUGAGUGGUGCUUCUUGGUAUUAAGUUAUCGAGGAGAUAGCCGCUCAUCGUUUACUGUGAGAAAAUUAGAGUGUUCAAAGCAGGCUUAUGCCGUUGAAUAUAUUAGCAUGGAAUAAUAAGAUAGGACCUGGGUACUAUUUUGUUGGUUUGAGAACCAAGGUAAUGAUGAAUAGGGACAGUUGGGGGUAUUCGUAUUCAGUUGUCAGAGGUGAAAUUCUUAGAUUUACGGAAGACGAACUACUGCGAAAGCAUUUACCAAGGAUGUCUUCA